Long non-coding RNA from Rhinolophus ferrumequinum (greater horseshoe bat), 583 nucleotides. RefSeq lists it as uncharacterized. NCBI's taxonomy places the organism in Eukaryota, Metazoa, Chordata, Mammalia, Chiroptera, Rhinolophidae. The record is from RefSeq and is a predicted model, not a curated record. The transcript has 2 exons.
GCCGGCUUUAAGGCAACCAUGGCAACCGAAUGCACGAAGGCUUGUCCCGGCAAACAGAUGCAUUCAUAAAUAACUCUGAAGUGCUGAUAUCAACAGUCGGGGGACCCUGCUGCAAUGCUAAUGCGGCAGGGGCCAGGGCCACUGUGGCAUGUCCCCCAAGGCUGACAGACCCCAACUGCUACCUGGAGCUGGCCUGAGGAGGCUGUCUGAGCCCAUGCACAGGUGCCACUCACCACUGACUGCCAGUGCCCUGUGGACUGCCUUGCCUGCACUUGACUGAGGGCCACCGUGUGUCCCCCAGGGCCUACUGUUUUGCUGCCCUGUCCCUUCACUCAGCAUUUGAACAACUCACUGGGGCUGUGGUUCCACCCUGAAUAUGACCAGCCCACCGGAGGGGCCACCCGCAGGACCUGGCGAAGCCAGACUUCCCAGGUGUGUGUCGUCUGCCUGGAGUUUGGGCACCGCCAUGGGUGAAGCUGGGCGCCGACACGGGUGGUCGACACGACAUGGGUGGGGGGGGGAUACACCGGAAAUCUGUUCCUUCCUCUCGAUUUCGCUGUGAACUAAAACUGCUCUAAAAUAU